ACUUUUGUCAGGGAAGAAAAGGCUGUUGCUAAUAUCGACAGCUGAUGACGGUACCUGAAGAAUAAGCACCGGCUAACUACGUGCCAGCAGCCGCGGUAAUACGUAGGGUGCGAGCGUUAAUCGGAACUACUGGGCGUAAAGCGAGCGCAGACGGUUACUUAAGCAGGAUGUGAAAUCCCCGGGCUCAACCUGGGAACUGCGUUCUGAGCUGGGUGACUAGAGUGUGUCAGAGGGAGGUAGAAUUCCACGUGUAGCAGUGAAAUGCGUAGAGAUGUGGAGGAAUACCGAUGGCGAAGGCAGCCUCCUGGGAUAACACUGACGUUCAUGCUCGAAAGCGUGGGUAGCAAACAGGAUUAGAUACCCUGGUAGUCCACGCCCUAAACGAUGUCAAUUAGCUGUUGGGCAACUUGAUUGCUUAGUAACGUAGCUAACGCGUGAAAUUGACCGCCUGGGGAGUACGGUCGCAAGAUUA
RNAcentral lists this ribosomal RNA (472 nucleotides) under uncultured bacterium. RNAcentral's name for it is "bacterial SSU rRNA". It matches the Rfam family "Bacterial small subunit ribosomal RNA", at positions 432 to 896 of the family's 1533-position model. The record is from RNAcentral.